This is a long non-coding RNA of Peromyscus californicus insignis, 7500 nucleotides long. RefSeq lists it as uncharacterized. NCBI's taxonomy places the organism in Eukaryota, Metazoa, Chordata, Mammalia, Rodentia, Cricetidae. The transcript has 5 exons. The record is from RefSeq and is a predicted model, not a curated record.
CCUCUGCCUUGGCGGGGCACCCACUCAGUGGGUAAACGCCUCUGACAUGGGGAGCUGUCAGUCUGUCUCCGGAAUUCAAGAGCACAACAUGGUGUCUUUUUUUCCUGCAAGUUUCCUUGAGGUUUGGUACCAGUGAGGUACAGCUUAGAUUCUUCUGGUACAAGAGAAAUAGAGAAGCACCGCGCGUUCAGGAGCUUGUGAGAGUGACACAAGACGCUUCUGUCACCAGCGGUAACAGAAGGUGGGAUCUGUCAAAAACGGUAAAAGGGAUGAAGUAGAGGAGGUGGUUCUCAUGGAGGAGCGAUUACAUGAGUUUGGAGUUCACAGGGACGCUUUCUUCAGGAAUCCAAGAUGAACCUGAGGCACGCAGAGACAGUCCCCAGCACUCUGGACUUAAAUCAUAGAUUCAUGUUUUCCCAUAAAUGGAAGCACUGUCCUCAGAUGUCUGUAUGUCCAAACAUCCUACGGUGUCCUUUGUCAAGUGUCACUUGUCUUUAUUUGAAUUCUUCUCGAAUCUUCUCAAGAAGUCCAUUAUAUUGUCUUAAAGUGAAUAGCUGGCAGUAACAGUUUUAAAAAGCUAAGCCGAUACCCACUACGUGUUUCUCCUGUUCCCCACAUUGGCUCUGGAUCUGCUACUUGCCCUACUUAGGACUUCAAUCAAACACCAUAUGAAGAUCUGGAAUAGAAGCUUGAUAAUUAGUCUCAGAAUGGAAGCAUAUAGGAUCAACAGUGAAUCCCACAGUGACAUGAAAUAUCCAAAGACCACCGGGCUGACACCAGCCAUUUCUUCAGAGGUGUCUGGCUCCUGUGCUGGGAGGCUGUCUGGAUUUGCUGUUGCAUCUCAGCCUUUUCAGUGGAAAAUCCCAGCCAGCCAUCUGCUUGGGCAUGUAUAUAGGGAUGCUCAGAAGAAUGCUCACCGGUAUGGAUGGUAAUGAUCUUUGGAGGAGGAGACUGGAGUUCUGCUUGCUUCUUUGCAUUUUAAGUAUUGUUUAAAGUUCUUUUUAUAAUAACCAUAUAAUAAAAGAUCUAUUUUUACAGGCUACAGUGUUGAUGUUAAAUACUGCAGAGCCUGGGUUAGUAACUACUGAGAAUAGGAAAGAGUGCAGGAAAGACGGAAUGAAGAUAAUGAAAUACUAAAAAUCUUUGUAGGAAUGUAAGUGAGGUUGUGGGGUGGGGGGGGAGAUAAAUCACUAGGUAGAUUAGAUAGGUGACUCCUUUUUAUCCACUCCAACACAUCUGUCCCUUUCUUCAGUUCAUCUCAAACACUGUUUCCAGGUAAAGUCCCCAAAUAUCAUUUUGUCGCCACUCUCAAGCUAGACUUCAGUGGCUCUCCCCAAGGAAGCUGAAAUCGCCCGUUUGCCUGUCUGAAGAUUCUAUAAUUGGUCACUUUUAGAGAAAAUGUCCAUGUGUACUUCCUGAGCAUGUACCGUCACAGGCAAGGACUCAAAAUCAGUGUGUACACAUGGGCACUACAGCCUCGGCUGCCAUCAUGAUUGCACAACAGUGAGGGCACAGACACAAUAGUUAAAGUGACUCAGAGAAAGAGGGGCGGCCACUGGCUGAUGUGACAGUUGCUUGGGCACCCAUACAGGUGCGGAGGUGGACCGCAUCGGUAUCUGUCAUUGUCUCUGCACUCCAUCUCCUCCCUUUUCAUUCUUUCUGAACCCUGAGCCCUCCUAACGGCUCAGAUAGUAGGUCAGGUCCAGUCACGGCAUCUGUCUUCUUGUGACGUGCAUGGCACUGAUUUUUUCAGAGAUUCUUUAUGAUCACACGAUACCUGCCAUUGCUAGUCACUGCUGCUGUGUAUGAACCGACUUUUGUCCACGAACAGGUGACCAUGGGCUUUGAAAGUGGUCUCAGUGCUUAGCACAGAAUUCAGCAUAUAGCAAGUGUAUGAUAAAGAGUUGCUGAAAUGUACCAGGAAACUUUCCAGCAAAAUUGUUUAAUAGCUUAAAAUAAAUUCAAUUAAUUUAAGGCAACACACUUGAAAGCAUUACAAUACAAUGUACAGGGAACACUGAUUCUGAGGGGUACAGGGUCAGGGUGACAGGAUCAAAGUAUUUCAUGAGCCUCCAGAAAGUCAAAUUUUAAGCAAUGGGUGGGGAGUUAGAGUCCCCCCAACUUAUACUAGUUAGAAUCCAACCAAGAUUGCAUUUGUAGUAAAUAAAACCCAAACAAAAUUGCUAUGUAGGACAAGAAAAAAAAAACAACCUUGAUUAUUCUGUGACAGCACAAGUGUGUUCUAAGUGUGGCCGUUCUGAGUCUGUGGGCGAGGAGAUAAUUGGACUAUUGGCUAUGUAAACAGAAGUGUGAGCUUACAAAGGCUAGGAGGUCACCUUGGUACUGUACGUGAUAAAAAGGAGAUCUUACUAGGGAGUCUGGCUUUUCUUUUAAUAUUUAAAAAGGAAGAUGAAAAUGCCUUGGAGCCCCAUUUCCCCAAAGUCAUCCCACUGGACCUUAGGUUGUCAGGAUACCGAAGGUGUUCUGUUUUUAAUGGGAGCUAAUGGAACUGGGAGAUGCUGUCUAUGAUCCCGAGGUGUCUGGUUAGAAGGUAUGUGGCCAUCCGAGCAGAGCUCAGGAGAGGGAACUUUUCCUGAGUGUGCAGCAAGGCUGAGCCAGCGCGGUGAGUUGUAGGAGGGUUACUGUAAGCUGGGCGCAUCUUUAUCUCCAUAAAGCCAGAAAUCGACACAUUGAAGCAACAGAGUGAUGGGUUAGGAAUGGACUCCUUGGUGAGGUGUGAGGGAAAUACUGAAUCAUUAUUGUGAGAGAACAUAUCAUCUUCAACACUGGACAAAUGAUAGGAAAGAUAGGAAACCAUUUAUGAAUGAUUUAUGUGCCUGGCUCUCUGAGCUGCCAGGCAGGUGACCCUUUGAAUUUAUUUCUCGCUAGGAGUCCAUGGAUCCAGUACUGUGGACCUCGGGACAUGUGCAGUGACCGUUGGAGGGCGUGGUUCCAGCUCCACCUCUAUCAUCUCUUAUGCAGUGACCAUCAUGAUUUCUCAUCCCAUCCUUCAGCGAUUCCCCUAGGAUUCACGACACGGUGCUUGCAAGUGCUUGCACAGGCUUUUCAGGAUGGCUCUAGCCACCGAUUUCAGCAGGAGAUGGAGAUGAUGCAGCCUUUCCAGCUGUGGGGACCAGUCCACAGGGAGCCUCCUUUCUAGCCACAAUGUCCUCAUCCUUCACCUCCCUGGGCUCCACACAACAUAUGAGAAUUAUUCGCUUGCCAGCCCAUUCUGCUCCUCUCAAAAGAAAAUUGACAAGUUCAAUAAUACCAGUUUGAGAUUGAUUUGUUAGCUAUGUAACUCGGACGCCUCUUUCCACAGAGGAGCAGUUCAGCUCGCCGUGCUUUGCUUUAGAGGUGAUGAUCUCCCAGCCGUGCGCCUCCUGAGCUUCCUGUGCAAGAGAGUCAAACACUGCCACUUUAACGCCGCUGUCUGUCACAGCCCUGCCCACAGCCCAGACCACAAAGCUGCAACAAGUUCAAAGUUCUGGGGACUUCAGCAAAGCACAGCCUCGAUUCCUUUGUUUGCAGAACAAGGUCUCCUCAGAAGCCUUUCUGGGCUCCUAUGCUCCUGCGCAAGUGAGCCGGCAUGCCGUAUGUCUGCUGAAUCCCUAAGGUUUCUGAAGCACCCAGGGGGCCGUAGUUUGUCCAAAGUCACCCUGCAGGAUGGUGGCAGGCUACAAUCAGACCCAGAACUUGUUUCUACUAGGCAAGAUCCCUUGAACCUACUGGAAGCAAUUGUAUUGGUACAGGCCGUGUGCUUCUAUCUUUAAAUAGUCAGCUGGCAACCAUGGUUUGAAGUCCCUUUGAGGGACUGAGUUCAGGCCCUUGUGUGAAGUUCAGACUGCUGUUUGAAGGGGUUCUGGCGGUGUCUGCCAAACAGAACACUCAGAACUAGGAGUGAGAAAAGUGAUCCAGUAUGGCAAGGGCCCAGAGCAGAGGCUUAAAUAGACCUACUUCAUUCCUUUGCUUCCAGCUGGGGUUGUACCCCCACACUCUUCACCGCCCCUUCUGGAAAAGUCUGCUAAGUCAAAAAUCCUCGUAUUUUUCCUUGAAACCAUUAGAUUGUAUUUCCCACUGUAAGUUGAUUUGUGAGCACUGUUAGGAUGUGUCUGCGGAACCUCCUCCUGUGCCCGGACACAGGGCCAGGGGAAAGGCGUGGUUUCAGAUGAAUAACUUUCUAAAUGUAUUUUGCAUUUUCCUCACCUCUUUGCUUUGAACGUAAUUUUGAAUAGACAGGAACCCGAUACAAUGGAUGUGUUCUUGUGUUGUACACAGCCUGUCAUCUUGCUACAGGUAAAAUAUUGUAGCCCUCAUUCACUAAUAAUUGAUCCUGAAAUCAUCAAUAGUCGUCAUAAACAGCAAACACAGAGAAGCAUCCUAGCAGUUUAAAAGUUUAGGAUUCAAAGAGGCUUUGGAAGUAAUCUGAACCAGCUACCUUCUCGCCUUUUCUUAAUGGGAGAUCUAUCUCAACAGCCCUCAACCUUUGCUGCGUAUGAGAAUCAUUCUGUAGAAACUGUAAAGCCCCCCCAGGGUCUGGAUCCCACUCUAGAUCAAUUAAGAAUUUCUGGGAGUGAGAUUGAGAUAUUGGCAUUUCCUAAAACCUCCCAGUGUGCAGCCAAGUUCUAAUGAGUGAUCUGUCUUUUCUGUGGCUGGACCCUGGGGUGGAGUCUAUUUUUCGGGGCUGGAGAUGGGUGUGGCUGUUCAUGGUGGACAGCUCUUCCUCUCAGAAUUAACACCCCAGGAAACCAUGUGGGACCAAUGGGCUGUUUUGCUGGGUAAGUCCUUUGAGCAUUUGAAGAGAGUAUAUGAUUUACAACAUACUAGAUUACAUCCACUGUACAAUGUGGUCAGAGAAAAUGAAACUCUUAGACAUGCUGUUCCAUAAUGUGGGUUUGGACCCAGAAUUCGGCUACCAUUCUGUGCCACUUUCAUUGUUUUGCUUCUUUGAUGAAACAAUUGGGAACACUAUAAAGAAAGGAGUCAAUUUUACUUGAGGUUAAAGCCAAUAAGUUUGUGUGUAUAUAGGUUCAUGUGUGGCGGGGGGAGGUGCCCAUGCAUGUAUGUGCAUGUGUAGGCCAGGGGACAGCCCUGGGUGUCAUUCCUCAGAUACCAUCCAUUGUUUUUUGAGAUAGCAUCUUUCAUUGGCAUAGAACUUGCUAAGUAGACUAGACGGCUGGCCGGUGAGCCCCAGAGGUCUUCUUGUCUCUGUCUCCCCAAGCCUGGAUUAUAAGCAUGUGCCACCAUGUCCAGUUAUCUUUAUGUGGCUUCUGGGGAUUGAACUUAGGUCUCUGUGCUUCUUCCCAAGGAAACGCUUUAUCAACAGAAUCAUCUUUCCACUCUAGCCAAUAGUUUUCUCAGAAGCUAGUGUGACCAAUGACAGAGGAUCUUCUCUUUCCUCCUGGCUGGCUGUCCGUGGCAGCCUGUGUCCUGCAUGGGUAGCAUCUCUACUGGGCGGUCAAACUUGCCACCGCUCUCCUGUGUCUGCAUUCGAGCCCGGGGACAGGCAGACUAUGGAAGAGCAGCCAAGGGAAGAAGAAAAAGCAGAAGAGGGGGUUGUCCACAACAUACCCCAAUAUAGAGAGCCUCCUGCUGAGUUCUGGAGACCUGAUCCAGCACCAUUUAUUAACAGGUCAAGUUACGGGUUUCUAUCUCUUAGAUUUGGAUCUUGGCUCAUGUGUGCUGCAAGGAGCAACUUUGUGAAGGGAUCUUCACCUGUUUGAGCCCCAGUUUCUUCAUCUGUCGUCAGUCAGAAGUGACAAUUGUAGCUAAGCUCGAUGAAAUUAGAAAGAUACUUUGUGUGUAUAUGAAAUUAGAAAAAUACCUGGUACCUGACAAAACUCAGCUAUUCUUGCAUAAUCAUAGCCUCCCCUCCCCCUGCCAUCCCACACUACCAAGCUGUCCUUGAUCCACAGGCCAGUUGUCCACCCUCCCUUCCUGAUUUAAGUCCCAUGUGGUCUGAAUACAGCACCAUUGACAAGGUCCCUCAGUCUCAUCUUCCCCUGUCCAGUGCUCGGCUUGGAUUUUGCAGGUGUGGCUCCUUGCAGUUCAGCAUCCCAUUUUGGCUCCCAUCACCUCCCAAAGGCACUGAGGGAAAAACAAGUUGCUUCACACUCUUGACCCACUGCCGCACAUGGGGUGGAAGGGAGACCCUGCCAGACAACCUUGCUCCUGAGGAGGAUAUUUUUCAGUCUCCUUUCUCAAAAGUCCACGUGAAAUUGAACUUGGAGCCACGAUUUGCCCUUCCUUUUAAGCAUGCAGGGAAAUCAUGAAGUUUUUAACAGACACUGGAGGAUAUAUUCUUACUCCCCUUCCCAUUGAGCAAACAUUACAUUUCUGAGCACAGAUUCUUGAACUCCAACACUAGCAACAUGGCCUUUAUUUUCUAUUCUUCUUCAAUGGAUUCUAUCCAUCCUGCUAUGUGAAACUCUGGGGAUGUGACCCACUAGACAUUAUCCUCACCAGCCGACAUUUAAAGGGUAUGAAGAUGGAAGGUAUUUGAUCCACAGAGCAGUAGUUCCAGCAUGUGUCAGUGAGCAAGUAAAUGCUUCCUUGCAGAAGUCCCUGCUCCCUCUGUUGGGUAAAUGGAUGACUUUCCAGGGAUGCUGCAGAGAAGAGUGAUUUUUUAAAAAAAAAAAUGGCCUAAGGCAUCUGUAAUAUAGAGUCUUUAACCCAGUACACAUUUCUUGCUGUUUAAAAAUAAGUUUAAAUUGGGCCCUUUUAUUAUCCAGCCAGGUCCCCUGAAGUCUGUGAGGAAGCCACUCACUAAUGAAGGAAAAGGGGGAGCAGACUGAGUCUUACAAGUCAUUUUUAUGUACCCAACACAUGCCAGAACAGUCCCACAUGGGUUGGGUCAUCGCUCAAUCCACUACUUGACCAUCACUACGGGAUGCAGGUGGCUUCAAAACAAGCUGAGGGUCAGGCAGGGGAGGAGGAGAAAAACCUGAGGAGUCACUGGCAGAUGAGAAAACGACGUUUGGCGCCAGGAACUCAGAAGCAGAAUAAAUACAACAAACACCAACGUCAUUCUCACUCUAAAUUACAGAAUAAAUACAACAAACAUCAAUGUCAUUUUCACUCUAAAUUACAGCUCCUUGAGGUUUUGGUAAAAUUUUCAUUCCCUUGACUAUUGUAGGAAGAUGUUUCCUAGUCAGAGAAUGGGUUUUCAUUCCUUUGUGCAAGGACAUGAAUGUACCUGACUCGGCAAGCCGCGUGGACAGUCUUCAAGUCUCCUUGCAGUCAGACCUGCAGAGAGCACUGUUUUAAGAUGGCUUUAGUUUGGACAGUCUGUGAAUUUCAUAUCCCCUCUCAUGUUUCCUACAGUGCAAUACGUUUGCUACUGAUGCAUUGCUACCUGGGAAAUAUUCAGUGCAUGGUGUGUGAUGAAGAAAUGGUUCUGUGAUACUAAAUUCAUAACCCAUUCUGGAACCAACUGUGCCAACUGCCUGGUGAUAAUUAACACACACACACACACACACACACACACACACACACACACAC